UAUUAUUNAGAUGCAUGGUGUAUACNUAGUAGGUGAAAUGACCAUCUGAUUGGUAAAAAACAUGGCGGUCUGUUGACAAAAUAGAGGGACAUGCGCAUAAAUGAAACUGCACAAAUUCCUUGCUUGCUCUUGAAUAUUUGAUCUUAUGUUCAUUUUGUACACCGCUAUCUGAAAUUUAGAAUACUAAUUCUAUUUUAAAUAUUAUAUUUUAUAUUUAUAUUAUUAUUAAUAUUUAAUAAUCUGUAAGUUAAGUUUAGGUGCAAAUUAUGGGUGAGAAGUAGUGUGUUCCAAUAUAAUUAUUGUGGAUCCUUUUAAGAUAUAUUUUGGGUUAAAAAGAAUUUAUAAGUAAAAUUAGCUUUCAAAAUUAAUUUGAACGUGCAACAAUGGACGUACACAUCG
Molecule: ribosomal RNA, 399 nt
Filed under: Cuclotogaster hopkinsi
Lineage: Eukaryota; Metazoa; Arthropoda; Insecta; Psocodea; Philopteridae
Description: partial 12S ribosomal RNA
Source: RNAcentral